AAGGAUUGGCGUAUACUGGCACCGCCUGUAGCAGCCUUGGUGGAGCCCUAAUAUAUGUCGGUGGAGACGUAGUGGAGAGUGUAGCGCUAAUUACCCACGAACUACUUCACCUCGUCGGAUCAGUACAUGACGGGACAGCAGCACACGAGUACCUCAAGGAUAGCCCAGGGGCUCUAGCAUGCCCGGACAAUCGAGAAUAUAUUAUGGCAAAAUACGUGAAGCCAAAGCAAGACUCCUACCUCCAUUUGUCUAAUUGCACCCGCGAUCAAGUUCUGGCUUUUCUUGCAAGUGAACGUGGUCGAUGUAUUUUGAAGAAAGGGGCGCGACUGUGGCCACCACUCACCGAAGCAAUCCUACGAAAGCCCAUCGUGUAUGGAGUAAGGUAUUGCAGCUACCUCUACAGCAGUGCUUUUGAUGUGGAAUAUCAACCGGUCUGCAUUUCCCAGAUUUGCAUGGAUGUUCCACAAAAACCACAGCCAUUGCACGAGUGGUUAAAGAAUCGCACAAGUGCUAAUUACCAGGAAUCUGAUGCCCUCGGGAAAUA
Long non-coding RNA from Dermacentor silvarum, 544 nucleotides. RefSeq lists it as uncharacterized. The record is from RefSeq and is a predicted model, not a curated record. The transcript has 4 exons. Lineage: Eukaryota; Metazoa; Arthropoda; Arachnida; Ixodida; Ixodidae.